RNAcentral lists this ribosomal RNA (492 nucleotides) under uncultured bacterium. Its description in RNAcentral is "partial 16S ribosomal RNA". It matches the Rfam family "Bacterial small subunit ribosomal RNA", at positions 29 to 507 of the family's 1533-position model. The record is from RNAcentral.
AGUGAACGCUGGCGGUAGGCCUAACACAUGCAAGUCGAACGGCAGCACAGUAAGAGCUUGCUCUUACGGGUGGCGAGUGGCGGACGGGUGAGGAAUACAUCGGAAUCUACUUUUUCGUGGGGGAUAACGUAGGGAAACUUACGCUAAUACCGCAUACGACCUACGGGUGAAAGCAGGGGAUCUUCGGACCUUGCGCGAUUGAAUGAGCCGAUGUCGGAUUAGCUAGUUGGCGGGGUAAAGGCCCACCAAGGCGACGAUCCGUAGCUGGUCUGAGAGGAUGAUCAGCCACACUGGAACUGAGACACGGUCCAGACUCCUGCGGGAGGGAGCAGUGGGGAAUAUUGGACAAUGGGCGCAAGCCUGAUCCAGCCAUACCGCGUGGGUGAAGGAGGCCUUCGGGUUGUAAAGCCCUUUUGUCGGGAAAGAAAAGCAGCAGGUUAAUACCCCGCUGUUCUGACGGUACCCAAAGAAUAAGCACCGGCUAACUUCGUG